Molecule: ribosomal RNA, 253 nt
Filed under: uncultured bacterium
Lineage: Bacteria
Description: partial 16S ribosomal RNA
Rfam family: Bacterial small subunit ribosomal RNA
Source: RNAcentral
UACAGAGGUCUCAAGCGUUGUUCGGAUUCACUGGGCGUAAAGCGUGCGUAGGCUGUUCUGCAAGUCAGGAGUGAAAGCCCAAGGCUCAACCUUGGAAGCGCUCUUGAAACUGCAGGACUAGAAUUUGGGAGAGGAUAGCGGAAUUGUCAGUGUAGCAGUGAAAUGCGUAGAUAUUGACGGGAACACCAGUGGCGCAAGCGGCUAUCUGGACCAACAUUGACGCUGAGGCACGAAAGCGUGGGGAUCAAACAGG